This is a non-coding RNA of Vicia faba (fava bean), 1003 nucleotides long. NCBI's taxonomy places the organism in Eukaryota, Viridiplantae, Streptophyta, Magnoliopsida, Fabales, Fabaceae. The record is from the annotation of a GenBank genome assembly.
AUGAUUACGGAAGAGAAUUAUGGCAUUGUUGAUGUUCCGGGGCAGCAGCUACUGUGGUGAUAGUCUGCGGGACAGCAGUUGUACAGUUUCAGAAAGUGGUGGAAAAAUGCAUUCGGAUCGAAAUGCAUUACUUACCAUGCAUGAUGAAGUUCAAAGUAAAGAUGAGUGGUACUUGGAUUCUGAUUGUUCAACACAUAUGACGGGUCGAAAGGAUUGGUUUGUGCAAAUCAAUCAAGCGGCAAAGAGUAAAGUCAAGUUUGCCGAUGACACCACUUUAAGAGCCGAAGGGGUAAGAGAUGUUUUGAUCGAAAGAAAGAAUGGUGGACACUCUAGGAUCAAAGAUGUCUUGUACAUACCGGGAAUUAAGUGCAAUCUUUUAAGCAUUGGCCAAUUACUUGAAAGAGGGUACUUAAUUCGGCUGGAGAAUAAGAUGUUACGCGUUUUAGAUUCAAACGGUGUGUUGAUUCUAAAAGCGUCGAUGGCUGCCAAUAGAACUUUUAAGGUUGAGUUAAAGGUUAUGGAGCAUCGUUGUUUAGCUACCGCGGCAAGUAGAGAUGAGUGGUUAUGGCAUUACCGUCUUGGUAACCUAAACUUUAGGGAAUUUAAAAUGUUGCAACAAAGUGAAAUGGUAACGGGGCUGCCACAUAUUAGUGUUCCGACAGAAUUAUGUGAGGAAUGUGUGAAGAGUAAGCAACACAUGAAUGUGUUUAGCAAGGACGUGGGUCGAAGAACCAAAGGCUUACUUGAGGUGGUGUAUUUUGAUGUUUGUGGACCGAUGCAAGUAGAGACUUAUGGCGGCAAUCGAUAUUUUGUUACGUUCAUUGACGAUUUUAGUAGGAAGCUUUGGAUAUAUCUUAUCAAGAGAAAGGAUGAGGUGUUUGGAGUGUUCAAGAGUUUCAAAUCCAUGGUGGAGCGUCAAAGCGGUCGGAAGCUCAAAAUUCUCAAAACUGAUGGUAGAGGUGAAUAUACCUCUAGUGAGUUUGGGAAGUUUUGUGAUCUUUAG